Molecule: long non-coding RNA, 1512 nt
Organism: Oreochromis aureus
Lineage: Eukaryota; Metazoa; Chordata; Actinopteri; Cichliformes; Cichlidae
Source: Ensembl
UUUUACAGCUUUGAUGACUGUCCAAACCACUGACCAAAAUGUGCUGGCUUGCUGCGGUGACGAGGCCUACAAUCCAGUCAAUGAAAUAUGCUGUGACUCAGCCAUCAGGGUGAAACCUGCUGUUAAGAGCAAGUGUUGUGGUAAAGAGGCCAUCAAUGAGGAUAAGCAGUUGUGCUGUCAAAUCAACAAGACGAUAACAAGGACUUCAAGUCUAUACCAGUGCUGUGGAAGUGAAGAGUAUAACACUGAGACUCACUGUUGUGAUAGCGAAUUACAAAUCAAACCACUCGGUAAUAGUUCCAUAACCUCAAGAAGACUGACUGAUGACUGUGAACCAGAAAGCAAAAUCUGGACUGAUCAGCACUACUGUGGGCCUAAAGUUUUCAGACCUGAGAAAGAGAUCUGCUGCAGUGGACACAGAUAUAACAAAGCAGGAAAUGAUCACUGCUGUGGGGUGAAAGCCUACAACAUUACAGACCCAAAGAUGAAGUGCUGUGCAGGAACACUGCACCGUCUCACAGCUGCAACUGCAAAUGGCGAGUGCUGUGGAUCCAUUCUGUACACAGAGGGUGUUUGCUGCCUGAGUGAGGAUAAAGAGGUGUUCUACUCUGCAAAGACAGAUUUCAGAUGUUGUGGACAUCUCUACUACAACACCUCUCUGUGGUCAUGCUGUGCAGGGAAACUGAGACCUCGGAAAUCAGGGGUGUUCCACAACUCCACAAUUUUGUCCUUGAACAAACUGAAUCAAACACAACUUUGCAAACCAAUAAAGAUUGGGACUGUGGAAAGUGUAUCUCAGCACAGCAUCGUGUUCAGCAGUUUGCUGGAAAUCAAUGGGCAAAUUGCUUCUUUGAAACCUCUGGACUGGCAUUAUUCCUGGAACAAACCUUAUUUACCUGAACUAACUCCUGGGAAGACUUAUUUCUUCAACGAUAAUAAUGUCUUCAUUGAUUUCAAUCAUGACUCUCUUCUUCAGUCGAUCCGUUUCAUUAUUUCCAAAUGUUAGUCCUGUCCUGGUUAAUCUGCUCCAGUGUGCAAUAUGAAAUUAGUUCCCAGAGAGUGACAAAAGCUUCAGUAGUAAAAUAUGUACUUUGUGCAGUCAAAGUCAUGCAAUAAGAUGGUGCACUAAAUAGUGUGUUGUCUGCGUUCUCAUAGUGAGUUCUCAUAAAAGCUCUUUACAGUUUUGUUCUCCAGAUUUUUUUUCUUUUCAAAUUUGUAUUAUGUAACAAAAAACAUAAAAACUGCAGUUGUUUGGGCAGAUGCGAUUUGUUGCUAAUUUGCUCUACUAUCAGCAAUAAAAGCUAAAUUUGCAGGUGCCCUAUGAUGUCUGCAUAUUUAUCUUUAACUGUGUUUAUAUUGUUUACUUCUCAAGUUUUACUCAAUAGCUAAUUUUUCCCUGAGGUCUUUGAACUGUUCUGUAUUACUAUAUAUUCAAAUGUAUACAAAAAUCAGUUAUCAUCAUCAUCAUAAAUGUAUUCAUAUUUUAUCCAGUGAAUAAAUUUUAAAAGAAUA